AACAAAACAACUCUCAUAAUACAUUCAAUGUAAACACCAUUAGGUAUGGUAUAUAUGGGAGCAGGGGCGGAUCCACAGAGGAGCAAUGGUGGUCAAUUGACCCCUGCAACCUAUGAAAUGCUCUAUUAGAGCAGCCGAAGUUGACCCACGCAAAGUGUUCGACGAAAUGCCUCAAAGGGGCAACCUGUGUCUGUGCGCAGAUGAAGGAGAAGAAGUGCAGCGCGCGCCUUGUUUUUUUUUUUGGUUUGCUCGACGUUGUUUCCACUAAAGCUUUUUUUAUUUAUUUAUUUAUUAUUUUUAUUUAUAAACCUAUACCAAAACGUGCGCGCCUUCUCUUUUUUUUUUUUUUUUUUUUCGCUCGACGUAAAAAAGACGUCGUUCCACUAAAGGCUUUUUUUAUUAUUUUAUUUUUUUAAACCUGACCAAAACGACUUCAUUUUAUCAAGUUCUGAAAUCACACAGAUUAAAAGGAACAUGAACUCUUUACUUUUGAGUGAAAUAACAAUCGUGCAACAAAACAACUCUCAUAAUACAUUCAAUGCAAACACCAUUUGGUAUGGUAUAUAUGGGAGCAGGGGCGGAUCCACAGAGGAGCAAUGGUGGUCAAUUGACCCUUGCAACCUAUGAAAUGCUCUAUUAGAGCAGCCGAAGUUGACCCACGCAAAGUGUUCGACGAAAUGCCUCAAAGGGGCAACCUGUGUCUGUGCGCAGAUGAAGGAGAAGAAGUGUAGCGCGCCCCUUUUUUUUUUUUUUGUUUGCUCGACGUUGUUUCCACUAAAGUUUUUUUUAUUUAUUUAUUUAUUAUUUUUAUUUAUAAACCUAUACCAAAACGUGCGCGCCUUUUCUUUUUCUUUUUUCUUUUUUUUUUCGCUCGACGUAAAAAAGACGUCGUUCCACUAAAGGCUUUUUUUAUUAUUUUAUUUUUUUAAACCUGGCCAAAACGACUUCGUUUUGGCACAGGUAAAAAAAAUAAAAAUAAUAAUAGAGCAGCAACCUGCUCUGUUAUGUUUUGCCCGAUAAUUCUCCCCUCCCCAAAUGUUAAAACUCAUUUCUUCUCACCUCUAAACCUCUAAACCCUAAACCCCUAACUCAACCUUUACUUCCUUCCCCUACAAAUCUGACGGCGACGCCAGCAAAGUGGUGGAGGCGACAGCAAAGUGGCGUAGCAGCAAAUUACAUAAGUGAUUUCAAUUUUCAAAGGUGGAUUUGUCCCUCAAAUUUGAAAUUAUGUUAUUCUAAUUUCUUUAUACUUUAAUUAAUUAGUAAAGAUUGUCAUAUGUUUGUGUUUUUCUUGAUUAGUUGUUAACUUGUUAUUGUUUGUUGUUG
RNAcentral lists this long non-coding RNA (1326 nucleotides) under Prunus persica (peach). Its description in RNAcentral is "long non-coding RNA (PPER_LNC006446)". Lineage: Eukaryota; Viridiplantae; Streptophyta; Magnoliopsida; Rosales; Rosaceae. The record is from RNAcentral.